This 272-nucleotide long non-coding RNA is filed under the name Nicotiana benthamiana. RNAcentral's name for it is "long non-coding RNA (NBEN_LNC001511)". Lineage: Eukaryota; Viridiplantae; Streptophyta; Magnoliopsida; Solanales; Solanaceae. The record is from RNAcentral.
GAAUUAAGACGGUCCAAGGCCGAUGACAUCUCGACGGCACUCAAGGUUGCUGCCACAUUGGAAGAUUACACUGGUGCUGACAAAGGGUUUUAUGUCAAGCACCACGGUGAAUCAUCCGAGUCCAAGAUUCAAAGGACUUGGUCGGUUAAAGGUGGGGAGUCAGGGACGGAACCCACAAGCCAACAACCCAUGGUGACAAAGGGAAACAUGUCAAAGACAACAAGAAGGAGGCCAAACCAAGGGAGGGUUGCUUCCUAUGUCAAGGACCACAC